AGCUGCGGGAAGUAUGCUUGGCCAACUGCCUCUGCUUCGGAGCCGGGGUCGUGGUCCUCUGUUCAGGGCCUGAAGAAAAAGGCAAUGCUACCAAGACCUUAGCCAUUUCUUCCCAAUGCUGGCUCCUUUAAGGGUGAUGCUGGCUCUGGAGUUCCCUUUUGGGUUGAUGGAGAAAUUGGCAGGUUAAUGUCAAAGUCUGGUGCCUUCUGCCCAUCUCUCCUUCUCCCCCCUUUCCCCUCAGGUGUUCCUCUCUGACGCAUCUUUUGCAUUCCCAAGUCCAUGUCCGUGCCUGCUUCCUGGAGAACUCAAGUAACACACGGGCAGCUGAAGAACUAACCCAUGUUCACCCAGGGAAGAAGGGGCCUCAAAGGAGGAAGAGGGAAGUGCGAGCAUGGCAACCUGGGAUAUCACAUAUUGUGAGGGCGGCAUUACCAGAUGGAAGAAGCUUGGAUCCCUGAGUCACCAGAUGGAGACGAGCUCUGGCCAACUUGCAUUGGACUUCACGAUUCUCCUUCAGGAAAAAAGAAACUGUCUCCUGAUGCAGCUGGAAGAAGCUACCCGCCUAAUGUCUUAUCUCCAGUCCCAGUUAAAGAGGUGGGUAACUGGAAGGGAGAAGACCAUGCUUGAUUGGCACCACAGAAGGACGUGUCCGUGAACUGCCCCCUUCCCUUUAGCUUGCUUUUCUCUCCCCGAACUUAGAACCCGCAGGGGUUGUGAACACAGGACAGAAAAGUGGAGACAUGAUAUCGUUACGAGUUGCUGCUGAUUCAUGAUCCAAGGAUGGUGGGGAGAGCCCAGUGUGACUUCAGAACAGCAAAUCCGAAGUCAGACUGAGCCAAGGACUUGGUUACAGCUUCAGAAGUCUAUCUGUCCAUGUAUGUGUAUGCAUAGUCCCAUUUUUAUUUUCCUUUUUAAAAGGAUAUGAAUAUUUUAGAAAUAACAUUUGGAUGCUCACCUUUCUGAAGCCCUCCA
This is a non-coding RNA of Sus scrofa (pig), 972 nucleotides long. The record is from RefSeq and is a predicted model, not a curated record. NCBI's taxonomy places the organism in Eukaryota, Metazoa, Chordata, Mammalia, Artiodactyla, Suidae.